CCCUAAGUCAUUUGUAUUGUUCAUACUGGAUAAAAUAAGCAUAUCUCUAUUUCUUAUACUCAUAUUUAUAUCGUCACCAGAAAGAAGCCAAAUCUUGUGCCUAAAUCACUUAAUGCAUUGGCCAUUUUAUAUUUUUCCAUCACAAAGUUUGGAGAGACAGUCAGAUACCUGCACAUACAAGCAUAAACAACGCAUCAGAGGGAAAAGCUUAUUGAACAAGUAAUUAACUAAGCAACUUUCAUAACAAGAAAUUUCUGACUCCAGAUCCCCAUGAAUUUUUGUAGAUAACACCCAUGUUGCAUUAUGCACACAUGGGUCUUUAUAUAUGAUCAUAAUCUAUAUAAUAACAGCUAAAAAUACAGGUAUUAACAAUCCUUCUUUUUUCUUCAGGGGUAUAGCAAAAGUCACUAGUGUCAUUUUGAGCACCUCACUCUAACAUAUAUACCAGCAUAUUCUAAAGCCAAUGUUGGAAAGAAAAGAAUUAGAAAGCAAUACAAUCCUAAUGACAUAUGCAGGCGACAUGCCACUUAAAUUUCUAAUAUCUCUCUUUGGAGAGUAAUUCUAAAAAUUACAGUCAACAUCCAACAACACAGACACAGAAAAACUAAAGUUAAAGAAAUAUAUAUAAAAGACCAAAAGACCAGACAAAUUAGAAUAAAACCAACAAGUGCAGAAUUACUAACCACUGAUCUUGGAUCAAAUAUAUGCCUAGAAAGAUCAGACAGCAUGGGAAACUAAUAAUGCUCAGCCAAUUUGCAAGUUUCAUCUACUAGGCUAUCUACAACAAAGAACAUAUCGAUAUAAGGCCC
This 809-nucleotide long non-coding RNA is filed under the name Salvia miltiorrhiza (redroot sage). Its description in RNAcentral is "long non-coding RNA (SMIL_LNC006663)". Lineage: Eukaryota; Viridiplantae; Streptophyta; Magnoliopsida; Lamiales; Lamiaceae. The record is from RNAcentral.